GCCGCCGCUCUCGUCGCACGAGCUCUAUCUGCCGCCACUCUCAUCGCAUAUGCUUCCUCUGGCGUCUCUUUUAUCUAAUCUCAAAUAGUUCUCUCAGUUCUUCUCAUGGAGUGAGAAAUGUAAUACUUAUGAACGGUUGCUCGUAUUUUUGUGCGAAUUUCAGGAUGCUGAGCAUAAAAAUAUAGAGGACAUCUUUGAUUGUGUGCGGUGAUCAGCUCUAUCGAAUGGACUACUUGGAACUUGUGCAGGUUGAUCUUGAUCCGUAUAGUUCACCUUCUAUGUUUUUGGAUUCAGUAGUUCAAUAUGUUGCUGAUGGUGCUCAGAGAAAAAUAUUGAAUUGUACAAAAAGGUUUGAUAACAGUAACACAGAAAGAUUAAUGGAAAGCAUGUCUGAAGAAGAGAGAAAAGGGAAUUUGGAUUUGAUGUAAAGGCAAUGGAUUGGAAAGAUUAUAUCACCAAUUUAGAAAGAUUAUAUCAAGAGGAAAAAGCUGAAAUAGAAGAGAUGGAAUGAGGCUUAUGUUAGUUAUUACAAAAAGGUUAAGGCGUCAAGUGGUUUCAGUGCUGUUCCACUACCACCGAUGUCGCUGCCACCCCUCAAUCUCUUCGGAGGAGGACUAUGAUGUUGAUGAGGAUGAAGAUGAUAUUGAGAUUAUAGCUGAUAUUUUUAGUAUGAUUGAACAAUAUACUGAGGAUUAUAGUUGAUGUAUCAAUAUAUUUGUGUUUAUGUUUUGAAUUGA
Long non-coding RNA from Arachis ipaensis, 737 nucleotides. RefSeq lists it as uncharacterized. Lineage: Eukaryota; Viridiplantae; Streptophyta; Magnoliopsida; Fabales; Fabaceae. The record is from RefSeq and is a predicted model, not a curated record.